Molecule: long non-coding RNA, 820 nt
Filed under: Marmota monax (woodchuck)
Lineage: Eukaryota; Metazoa; Chordata; Mammalia; Rodentia; Sciuridae
Source: RNAcentral
GCAGGGGGUACCAGGGAUUGAACUCUGGGGUACUCCACCACUGAGCCACGUCCCUAGCCCUAUUUUGUAUUUUCUUUAGAGACAGGGUCUUGCUGAGUUGCUCAGUGCCUCACCAUUGCUGAGGCUGGCUUGGAACUCUCAGAUCCUCCUGCCUCAGGCCCCCAAGCUGCUGGGAUUACAGGUGUGCACCACGGCACCCAGCUUGACUUGACUUUUGGAGUCUGAGUUGGCCUCCUGAGCUGAACUACUCCAUUGCUGAUGCUGUAGUGCGAUUAUGUAACUGACGAUAUAUUUCUUCCAUGGAGAGCCGUGUGAAGAUAGUCUUCUCCAAAAAUGACAUCUGAAAGCUUGUACCAACAUGAUUUCACACACACACACACACACUUAUUUUUCUUAUUUCAUAAUAGGCAAAAUCUUGAUUCUGAACAUGCCAUCAGUCCUUAACCCAGCUUCUAGAAACUACUGCAGUUUUUCAGUGAAUAUGAUGGGGUACCCCAUCUGGGAAUAGUCCUCGUCCAUACCACUCUUGGGGAGCACACCUGGGAUCUGUGUUAAUACCCAUGAUUCCACUGGGCUGAUCAGAUGCUGGCCCCAAAUCAGAGCCCCCCUGGGGGAGGCUGGUCCCAUCUCUCUGCUGACUGGGGGUCCUUCCAACCCCUCCCUCCAGAAUUUGGAGCGAGUGACAGAGUGACAGAGACUAUAUUAAACUAGAGAGCACGCCACUGAAAGGUCAUGAAGAGUUGGGAGAAGCAGUUUUAGGCAUAAACAGAGAGAAAAGUGGAGAAUGAGACAAAUCUGAAGAAGUUCAAGCAAGACACUA